GCACUAGUAGUGUAGUGGUAUCACGUGACCUUGCCAUGGUCACAACCCGAGUUCAAAUCUCGGCUAGUGCAC
Molecule: transfer RNA, 72 nt
Filed under: Halocalculus aciditolerans
Lineage: Archaea; Methanobacteriati; Methanobacteriota; Halobacteria; Halobacteriales; Halobacteriaceae
Description: tRNA-Gly
Rfam family: tRNA
About the family: Transfer RNA (tRNA) molecules are approximately 80 nucleotides in length.
Source: RNAcentral